UAUUCCCUUUCUUACGUUCGCAAAAACUGUUUUCGGUUCGUGGGGUUAGCCCACUCCUACGCAUCCUCCGUUCCAAGUCCAAUCCCUGCGGUUUUCGCUUGCGUUAGCUGGCUUCCGGCGUGGUGGUCGACGGCUUAGUGAGCGGGCAGUGGGAAUGAUGGCGUGGUGGUCGAUGGAUUGGCUGGGCGUCCCUGGGGGUCGGCAGUUGACCACGGGUGCGCGACGGCCUGGUGCUCGGCGGCCACGGCGGCGGGGUGAGCGCGGCGCGGCCUUGAUGUUGGGAAGCGUGGCUUGUGGUGGUCGGCUGGCUGCAGCGGCAGUUCAGGUGGUCCUGGCGGCGGCACUAUGAGUAGUGCUCGCGGCGGAACUGGAUCAACCGUGACCACUUCGUUCCAUCCACCGGCCGGCUGCCACGGUUGCUUGCUCCAGUACGUGUUGGUGAGUUCAGUAUAGAUCUCUUCAAUGCCUCCUCUAUGGAUGGGUUGAUGCCUUGUAUUUCUUUUGCCCCCAAAUCCCUAAUUGGAUAGAGACCUCUAUUUAAACUCCGAGUCUGAAGUCCCACUCUAAUCAUUGUUAUGUUCUCUCUUCACUGUUUGAAAGUGGCAAUCUUCUGGCAAUUGGUUGCCUCUGACUUGUUGUUACAAAUUGUGUAUUGUUGUGUUCAUAGCCUGUUGCAUUUUGCACUAUGAUUGGAAUGUGAAAUAUUUGACGGCAUUGAACAGUUAGUCACUUGCCAUCUUAGACAUAGACAGUUCUGUUUUGGGCAAGUUGCUCACAGCAGACAGUUGUUUGAUUAAUUUUCUAACCUAAUUAAUACCAAUGGGAUUAUGUGAUGUGGAGGUAUCUUAUAUAUCUGCCAAGAGCUCGCCUCGGCAUCCUCACGAACUCGAGAUCCCGAGUAAGAGAGCUUUCCCCAAUGUGUGCAGCUAUUGCUCAGCAUGUAAAGAAGCUAAUUGUUGUUAAUACAAUCAAUAUUUUUGCUGAUUUUUUUGGGAGGGCAAAUCAUUACGGCGCUGAGCAGAUGUCCAAUUUGAUCUAUUGAAGUGGAUCACGGUUCCUCCUUUACUGAUGAAUGUCGCAUGUAGCCACUAGACUUGGACUCAAAUGGACGCCCUGCCAGGAGAGCACCGUGGAGAAGAGCGCCAAGGUGAAGGGGCAGUCCUUGCACAGAUUGGUGGCAGUUUCCGGGACCUGAAACACCCACAUAUCGUGUUUUGAUUUCUUGUUUGAAACUACUGGGCGUCCAUAUUACUAACACUUCACUAUCCAGUGAAGAAUGGAUGGACAACUCUAAUAUGAUUAAUGUCAUCUUCCUUGGGGCUUUUUUUUACCACUGCCAUAGACAAGUGUUUAUUUAGUUCAUGGUCAUAUUUAUUUAGUUCGUGGCUGAUGGGAGCAUGAGUACCUUUCAAACUACUGUUCCUCUUUUCGUCUUUAUAGUUUUUGUUGCUUACAUUUUGCCAUGCAUCUCUGUCAGAGAAACAUGACACAGAAGUCAGGAGGAGCAAUGAUAUGUGUACAUGUCAUUGUUGUCCAAGUUCUGGAACUUUUCCACUAAUCGUUGCUGAAACUAGGGUCAUCUAGACGAGGGGAUUGUAAAGGCUAACUAGAAAUACAUCUUUGAAGAAACUAUAGGGUCAUCCAGAUGGGGAUUUUGCAACCUCUAUACAAAUGCCUGCAGCUUGGCCAGACUAUUGCCCAUCUCAAGAUUGACUGGAGUGUUCUACUACAGAAAGAUAGUUUUUUUUUAGAUGCUACUUUGUCAAGCAGUGUAUUGAAUUUGUUGUAAAUUGACCUAGUUAUGAACUCACAUCAUCUUUGUUCAUUGUAAACCGACCUAGUUAUGUCAUGAAAUCCAAGUUUA
Triticum dicoccoides is the source of this 1864-nucleotide long non-coding RNA. RefSeq lists it as uncharacterized. The transcript has 2 exons. NCBI's taxonomy places the organism in Eukaryota, Viridiplantae, Streptophyta, Magnoliopsida, Poales, Poaceae. The record is from RefSeq and is a predicted model, not a curated record.